This 253-nucleotide ribosomal RNA is filed under the name uncultured bacterium. RNAcentral describes it as "partial 16S ribosomal RNA". It matches the Rfam family "Bacterial small subunit ribosomal RNA", at positions 524 to 776 of the family's 1533-position model. The record is from RNAcentral.
UACAGAGGUGGCAAGCGUUGUUCGGAAUUACUGGGCGUAAAGGGCGCGUAGGCGGUUCGAUAAGUCCCGUGUGAAAUCCCUCGGCUCAACUGAGGAACUGCACGGGAAAUUGACGGGCUUGAGUUCGGGAGAGGGAAGCGGAAUUCCGGGUGUAGCGGUGAAAUGCGUAGAUAUCAGGAGGAACACCAGCGGCGAAGGCGGCGCUCUGGGCCGGUACUGACACUGAGGAGCGAAAGCGUGGGUAGCAAACAGG